UUGAAUCAUUAUGGCAUGCAGACUUACAGGCUUGAAACCAUCCAAUUUCCACAUCAAGAAUAGAUCAGAUUUGGAAGUGAUAGAUCGCUUUUCUACUCGAAGUAACAAGACUUUGUUGACCAGCUCAAACAACAACUGGUAGACGGGAAGUAGUGCUUUCUUAUGGAACUGGUCCUCUUUCAGAUUUGAAUUAUCUUUCACGCUUGCAUUUCAAAAGUUGCAUUGACAAACAUAUCGUACACUAGACACCCCAACUGUAGGAACCUACAGAAUUCCCCAAGCAAUUUCACAUCAGAUACAAUAUCCACCCCAUUCACUAAAGCACACACAUG
Molecule: long non-coding RNA, 332 nt
Filed under: Nicotiana benthamiana
Lineage: Eukaryota; Viridiplantae; Streptophyta; Magnoliopsida; Solanales; Solanaceae
Description: long non-coding RNA (NBEN_LNC006501)
Source: RNAcentral